Molecule: ribosomal RNA, 402 nt
Filed under: uncultured bacterium
Lineage: Bacteria
Description: bacterial SSU rRNA
Rfam family: Bacterial small subunit ribosomal RNA
Source: RNAcentral
UGGGGAAUAUUGCACAAUGGGCGAAAGCCUGAUGCAGCAACGCCGCGUGAGUGAUGAAGGCCUUCGGGUUGUAAAGCUCUGUCUUCUGGGAAGAUAAUGACGGUACCAGAGGAGGAAGCCACGGCUAACUACGUGCCAGCAGCCGCGGUAAUACGUAGGUGGCAAGCGUUGUCCGGAUUUACUGGGCGUAAAGGAUGCGUAGGCGGAUACUUAAGUCAGAUGUGAAAAUCCCGGGCUUAACUUGGGAACUGCAUUUGAAACUGGGUAUCUAGAGUGCGGGAGAGGAAAGUGGAAUUCCUAUUGUAGCGGUGAAAUGCGUAGAGAUUAGGAAGAACACCAGUGGCGAAGGCGACUUUCUGGACCGUAACUGACGCUGAGGCAUGAAAGCGUGGGGGGCAAACA